Molecule: non-coding RNA, 956 nt
Filed under: Meles meles (Eurasian badger)
Lineage: Eukaryota; Metazoa; Chordata; Mammalia; Carnivora; Mustelidae
Description: partial 12S rRNA
Rfam family: Microsporidia small subunit ribosomal RNA (bases 158-956)
Source: RNAcentral
AGGUUUGGUCCUAGCCUUCCUAUUAAUUAUUAACAGAAUUACACAUGCAAGUCUCCACACCCCGGUGAAAAUGCCCUCUAAAUCCACCUUAUCGAUUGAAAGGAGUGGGUAUCAAGCACACUAAAUUAGUGGUUCAUAACACCUUGCUCAACCACACCCCCACGGGUACAGCGUGAUAAAAAUUAAGCCAUAAACGGAAGUUUGACUAAGUCAUGUAAUAUAAGGAGUUGGUAAAUUUCGUGCCAGCCACCGCGGUCGUACGAUUAACCCAAAUUAAUAGGCCCACGGCGUAAAACGUGUUAAGGAUUAUAUAACAUUAAAGUUAAAAUUUAACCAGGCUGUAAAAAGCUGCUGUUAAUAUAAAAUGUGCCACGAAAGUGACUUUAUUAUCUCCAAUAACACGAUAGCUGAGAUCCCAAACUGGGAUUAGAUACCCCACUAUGCUCAGCCCUAAACAUAGAUAAUUCAUAGAACAAAAUUAUCUGCCAGAGAACUACUAGCAACAGCUUAAAACUCAAAGGACUUGGCGGUGCUUUACAUCCCUCUAGAGGAGCCUGUUCUAUAAUCGAUAAACCCCGAUAAACCUCACCACUUCUAGCUAAGUCAGUUUAUAUACCGCCAUCUUCAGCAAACCCUUAAAAGGAGGAAAAGUAAGCACAAUAAUAAUACAUAAAAAAGUUAGGUCAAGGUGUAACCCAUGAAGUGGGAAGAAAUGGGCUACAUUUUCUAAUCAAGAGCAUAGCCACGAAAGUUUUUAUGAAAUUUAAAAACUAAAGGCGGAUUUAGUAGUAAAUUAAGAAUAGAGAGCUUAAUUGAAUGGGGCCAUAAAGCACGCACACACCGCCCGUCACCCUCCUCAAGCAAUAUAGCCAAACAUUACAUAAUAAGAUCACAUUAAGACAAGAGGAGAUAAGUCGUAACAAGGUAAGCAUACUGGAAAGUGUGCUUGGGUAAAU